UGGGGAAUAUUGCACAAUGGGCGCAAGCCUAAUGCAGCCAUGCCGCGUGUAUGAAGAAGGCCUUCGGGUUGUAAAGUACUUUCAGUCGGGAGGAAGGUGUCAAGGUUAAUAACCUUGGCAAUUGACGUUACCGACAGAAGAAGCACCGGCUAACUCCGUGCCAGCAGCCGCGGUAAUACGGAGGGUGCAAGCGUUAAUCGGAAUUACUGGGCGUAAAGCGCACGCAGGCGGUUGAUUGAGUCAGAUGUGAAAUCCCCGGGCUUAACCCGGGAAUUGCAUCUGAUACUGGUCAGCUAGAGUCUUGUAGAGGGGGGUAGAAUUCCAUGUGUAGCGGUGAAAUGCGUAGAGAUGUGGAGGAAUACCGGUGGCGAAGGCGGCCCCCUGGACAAAGACUGACGCUCAGGUGCGAAAGCGUGGGGAGCAAACAGG
This 429-nucleotide ribosomal RNA is filed under the name Chloroflexota bacterium. Its description in RNAcentral is "Chloroflexi bacterium partial 16S ribosomal RNA". It matches the Rfam family "Bacterial small subunit ribosomal RNA", at positions 355 to 776 of the family's 1533-position model. Lineage: Bacteria; Bacillati; Chloroflexota. The record is from RNAcentral.